RNAcentral lists this unclassified non-coding RNA (272 nucleotides) under plant metagenome. RNAcentral's name for it is "partial contains small subunit ribosomal RNA, internal transcribed spacer 1, and 5.8S ribosomal RNA". The record is from RNAcentral.
UUUCCGUAGGUGAACCUGCGGAAGGAUCAUUAAUGAGUUGUCAUGGGGUUCGAAGCUGGCAGCCAGUUUUUGGAUGCAUGUGCUUGCCCUAACAAUCAUCUUCUUCUAAACACCUGUGCACAUUUUUGAGGGAGUCUUGAGUUGGUUGCCGCUCUUGGGUGAUUUUCUCACAUUCCCUUAAAUCAUUAUACGCUAUUAACAAUGUUGAACGUGCUCUGUGCCGCAAGGCCAUUAAUAUAAUACAACUUUUAACAACGGAUCUCUUGGCUCUC